GUGGGGAAUAUUGCGCAAUGGGCGAAAGCCUGACGCAGCGACGCCGCGUGGGUGAUGAAGGCCUUCGGGUCGUAAAGCCCUGUCGGGAGGGACGAAACAUCGACGGCCCAAUACGCCGCCGACCUGACGGUACCUCCUAAGGAAGCACCGGCUAACUCCGUGCCAGCAGCCGCGGUAAUACGGAGGGUGCAAGCGUUGUUCGGAAUCACUGGGCGUAAAGCGCGUGUAGGCGGCCUUCUAAGUCUGGUGUGAAAGCCCGGGGCUCACCCCCGGAAGUGCACUGGAUACUGGAUGGCUAGAGUACCGGAGAGGAGGGUGGAAUUCCUGGUGUAGCGGUGAAAUGCGUAGAUAUCAGGAAGAACACCGGUGGCGAAGGCGGCCCUCUGGACGGAUACUGACGCUGAGACGCGAAAGCGUGGGGAGCAAACAGGAUUAGAAACCCGGGUAGUCC
RNAcentral lists this ribosomal RNA (451 nucleotides) under uncultured bacterium. RNAcentral describes it as "bacterial SSU rRNA". It matches the Rfam family "Bacterial small subunit ribosomal RNA", at positions 354 to 796 of the family's 1533-position model. The record is from RNAcentral.